Molecule: long non-coding RNA, 395 nt
Organism: Mus musculus (house mouse)
Lineage: Eukaryota; Metazoa; Chordata; Mammalia; Rodentia; Muridae
Product: predicted gene, 52295
Exons: 3
Source: RefSeq, a predicted model, not a curated record
CAGAGAUAUUGCAGCCACUCAGAAGACAAUGAUCAGAAUUUGGUCUGGUUUGUGUCAGAGAACUUGAGUGACAGCUUAACUUGCAUCUGGUAUGGCACAUAGGACGUUGGGGAAACUUGAGGAACUGGAAAGAACUCAAUUGCUCCACUCAGCAAGUCAGUAGGAACGGUUUGGAGACCUCCCAGCUCUCUGACAAAGUGCUUCAAGGAAAACCAAAGCUGUACAACGAGAUCCCCUCUUCCCAGAGACUGUCAGCCUGUGUACGAUGUGAGGUGGGUUACAAACAUGUGCCACGAGGAGAAGCACUGGAGAGCGCACAACUCCAACAGCGCAGAGACCACAUCCCACAAAUAUUGCUGCUCCUGCUUCCUGACCUGCUUGAGUUCCAGUCCUGA